This 66-nucleotide transfer RNA is filed under the name Metaphire tosaensis. RNAcentral's name for it is "tRNA-Thr". Lineage: Eukaryota; Metazoa; Annelida; Clitellata; Crassiclitellata; Megascolecidae. The record is from RNAcentral.
GAAUUGAAAGCUAAUAAUUAUAAGCAACGACCUUGUAAGUCGAAGAAAGAGAACACUCUCAAUUCU